CCUCGUGGCCAUAUCGAAGGGGAAACACCCGUUCCCAUCCCGAACACGGUCGUUAAGCCCUUCCGAGCCGAUGGUACUUUCCGGGAGACCGGAGGGGAGAGUAGGAUGCUGCGGGGC
Molecule: ribosomal RNA, 117 nt
Filed under: Candidatus Euphemobacter frigidus
Lineage: Bacteria; Pseudomonadati; Candidatus Auribacterota; Candidatus Erginobacteria; Candidatus Erginobacterales; Candidatus Erginobacteraceae
Source: RNAcentral